AAUAGAUACCCGGGUAGUCCACGCCGUAAACGAUGUCGACUUGGAGGUUGUUCCCUUGAGGAGUGGCUCCCGGAGCUAACGCGUUAAGUCGACCGCCUGGGGAGUACGGCCGCAAGGUUAAAACUCAAAUGAAUUGACGGGGGCCCGCACAAGCGGUGGAGCAUGUGGUUUAAUUCGAUGCAACGCGAAGAACCUUACCUACUCUUGACAUCCACGGAACUUAGCAGAGAUGCUUUGGUGCCUUCGGGAACCGUGAGACAGGUGCUGCAUGGCUGUCGUCAGCUCGUGUUGUGAAAUGUUGGGUUAAGUCCCGCAACGAGCGCAACCCUUAUCCUUUGUUGCCAGCGGUCCGGCCGGGAACUCAAAGGAGACUGCCAGUGAUAAACUGGAGAAGGUGGGGAUGACGUCAAGUCAUCAUGGCCCUUACGAGUAGGGCUACACACGUGCUACAAUGGCGCAUACAAAGAGAAGCGACCUCGCGAGAGCAAGCGGACCUCAUAAAGUGCGUCGUAGUCCGGAUUGGAGU
RNAcentral lists this ribosomal RNA (526 nucleotides) under uncultured bacterium. RNAcentral's name for it is "bacterial SSU rRNA". It matches the Rfam family "Bacterial small subunit ribosomal RNA", at positions 777 to 1304 of the family's 1533-position model. The record is from RNAcentral.